CGUGUAGGUGGCUAAUUAAGUCAGGUGUGAAAUCCUUCCGCUUAACGGGAGAAGUGCACUUGAAACUGCUUAGCUAGAGUACGGGAGAGGAAGGUGGAAUUCCUGGUGUAGAGGUGAAAUUCAUAGAUAUCGGGAAGAACACCGGUGGCGAAGGCGGCCUUCUGGCCCGAUACUGACGCUGAGACGCGAAAGCGUGGGGAGCAAACAGGAUUAGAUACCCUGGUAGUCCUAGCCUUAAACGAUGAAUGCUUGGUGUGAUCGGUAUCCAAUCCGAUUGUGCCGCAGCUAACGCGAUAAGCAUUCCGCCUGGGGAGUACGGUCGCAAGGCUGAA
Molecule: ribosomal RNA, 332 nt
Filed under: uncultured bacterium
Lineage: Bacteria
Description: bacterial SSU rRNA
Rfam family: Bacterial small subunit ribosomal RNA
Source: RNAcentral